This 478-nucleotide ribosomal RNA is filed under the name uncultured bacterium. RNAcentral describes it as "partial 16S ribosomal RNA". It matches the Rfam family "Bacterial small subunit ribosomal RNA", at positions 28 to 507 of the family's 1533-position model. The record is from RNAcentral.
GAUGAACGCUGGCGGCGUGCUUAACACAUGCAAGUCGAACGAGAAGUGGAGACGGAAACCUUCGGGCGGAAGACUUUACUUCGAGUGGCGGACGGGUGAGUAACGCGUGGGUAACCUGCCUCAUACAGGGGGAUAACAGUUGGAAACGACUGUUAAUACCGCAUAAGACCACAGCACCGCAUGGUGCGGGGGUAAAAACUCCGGUGGUAUGAGAUGGACCCGCGUUCGAUUAGCCAGUUGGCGGGGUAACGGCCCACCAAAGCGACGAUCGAUAGCCGAUCUGAGAGGAUGACCGGCCACAUUGGGACUGAGACACGGCCCAAACUCCUACGGGAGGCAGCAGUGGGGAAUAUUGCACAAUGGGGGAAACCCUGAUGCAGCGACGCCGCGUGAGUGAAGAAGUAUUUCGGUAUGUAAAGCUCUAUCAGCAGGGAAGAAAGUGACAGUACCUGAGUAAGAAGCCCCGGCUAACUACGUG